UACGUAGGGCGCAAGCGUUAUCCGGAAUUAUUGGGCGUAAAGAGCUCGUAGGUGGCGUGUCGCGUCUGCCGUGAAAGCCCAUGGCUUAACUGUGGGUCUGCGGUGGAUACGGGCAGGCUGGAGGCUGGUAGGGGCAAGCGGAAUUCCUGGUGUAGCGGUGAAAUGCGCAGAUAUCAGGAGGAACACCGGUGGCGAAGGCGGCUUGCUGGGCCAGUUCUGACGCUGAGGAGCGAAAGCGUGGGGAGCGAACAGG
RNAcentral lists this ribosomal RNA (253 nucleotides) under uncultured bacterium. RNAcentral describes it as "partial 16S ribosomal RNA". It matches the Rfam family "Bacterial small subunit ribosomal RNA", at positions 524 to 776 of the family's 1533-position model. The record is from RNAcentral.